UACAGAGGUCUCGAGCGUUGUUCGGAUUCAUUGGGCGUAAAGGGUGCGUAGGUGGCGCUGUAAGUCGGGUGUGAAAUCCCGGAGCUCAACUUCGGAACUGCCUUUGAUACAGCACGUCUUGAGUCCGAUAGAGGUGGGUGGAAUUCCUAGUGUAGAGGUGAAAUUCGUAGAUAUUAGGAAGAACACCGGUGGCGAAGGCGGCCCACUGGAUCGGUACUGACGCUGAGGAGCGAAAGCAUGGGGAGCGAACAGG
This 253-nucleotide ribosomal RNA is filed under the name uncultured bacterium. RNAcentral's name for it is "partial 16S ribosomal RNA". It matches the Rfam family "Bacterial small subunit ribosomal RNA", at positions 524 to 776 of the family's 1533-position model. The record is from RNAcentral.